Mauremys reevesii (Reeves's turtle) is the source of this 279-nucleotide long non-coding RNA. RefSeq lists it as uncharacterized. The record is from RefSeq and is a predicted model, not a curated record. NCBI's taxonomy places the organism in Eukaryota, Metazoa, Chordata, Testudines, Geoemydidae. The transcript has 3 exons.
CAUCAUCCCAUGCUGUGUGCAUGUAAGCCAGAAGCUGCACUGCAGCACAACUGAAGGAGUGCACUGUCAACCACUUGUAUAGUAUUGAAAAGUUAUUACAAACUGAAGUACAUGCUGCAGCAGAGAAAGCAGAAGUCAUUUUAGGGAUCCUGCGCAGGUUUCAGAGCCAGACAAGCUUGCCUUCCUCAGUGGAGGAGUCGUCGUCAGAGGACUCAUCUGGAAAAUAUCACUCUCCUCCUGAGACACAGAGAAGUUAUUUAAAGAAUAAACCAAGCCAGU